AGAAGACCCUGUUGAGCUUGA
Molecule: non-coding RNA, 21 nt
Filed under: Arabidopsis thaliana (thale cress)
Lineage: Eukaryota; Viridiplantae; Streptophyta; Magnoliopsida; Brassicales; Brassicaceae
Also listed under: 2 other names
Source: RNAcentral